Long non-coding RNA from Oreochromis aureus, 3795 nucleotides. Lineage: Eukaryota; Metazoa; Chordata; Actinopteri; Cichliformes; Cichlidae. The record is from Ensembl.
GCACUCCUGACACUACUUUACAUGCAUGUGGAAAGUUAACACAGUGAGGCCAUUGUAAUGGGAGACAUUAAACAGAUAGUGAGGCUCCUUCUGCUUAUCAGGGAUGUAAAUCCUUAGGUGAAGGCUAAGCAGAAAACAAGGUCAUAAUUCUCUCUGUGCGGGAGGAGGUAUAGCCCCCCGUGAGAGGGACCAACAUGUAAGAGUUUGAGGAAUGUUCUUUGUCUGUGUCUCUGUAUAUAAGAUGUAAGGGCGGUGGCCACAAUUCAGAGAUGGUCCUGGUGUUUCACUGGGAUGCGCUCUCCACAUUGCAAUGUGUUUAUUAAACCCACUUCAAAUCAAGCUCACUGGGUGUGUUGCAGGUUAUUGUUAAAAUUUCCAUAACAAUUUGGCGUCACGAACAGAAUUCCUCACGUGAGUUUCGCUGAAUCGCAGGUACGCGGUGACUGACCAUCCUGGGGGAAAAUUGCCCCAGUCCCACCGUUCUUUUGUUUUCAAAAAAGGGGGAACCGCUAGAGGCCUUCAGCGACUCACACAUGCAGGAAUUUAAUGAACUAUGAGGAAAGAAAUGGGAAAAGAAUCUGCAACGGUGAGCUGUUUUGAUUUGGGGGGAGUUUUCAAGCGGACCUCAAAAAGGGAAAACCUCAAAAAAGCGACACCUAAAUUAUGGAUUGUCGUGGGAAGGAUUUUUCUGUCCUUGGGAAGGACUCUUCUGUCCUUGGGUUUAUGGUUUUUAGCACUUUGUACCGAAGCAAAGGCUGCAGAGGGGACGCCCGGCUGCAAUGGGUGCUGAGCUCAGCAAAGCGGCUACAGGAGCUGUGGGGAGGUUGUGUCCCUAGAGGUGGUCUGGGUGAAAACUCCAAAUGGGUGAAGUAUGUGUUAUGUAAGAGAAAGAUGUUGACAGGGAUAAGAGUUUUUUGUUUGUUUGUAGUUUUUUUUAAGUUGUUGUUGGUUUUGUUGUUUUUUUGUUUUUUGUUUUGGAUGGACCACUGGGAGGGAAACCUCAGGAAUACGACGCGUGAUUUCAGGACUGUUGUGGGAAGGACUCUGUCCUUAGUUUAUGGUGUUUAACACUUUUGCACCACAAGGAAAAGGCUGGACGGCCAACGCGCUUCUCCACAAAGCUGAGGUCAGCAGUACAGCCACCUCCGGGUGGUCCGGGCAAAUCCAGGUUUUGAUUGCAUGAUUUUUUUUUCUCUUUCAGAAAUAUGGGAAAGAAUACAUGCAGUAUGAAGUGUGUAGAAACUGAGGAAUGCAGUAAAGAGAAGUGUGUGUGUGUGAGAAGUGCUGUGGGUGUGUGUAUAACCGAGAGUGAUGGAAAGAGAUGUGUUAAAAUGUGGAUAGAAGAAUAAGAGAGGGAAAGUGUUAAUGAGCAGUGAUGAAAAUGAUAUUAAAUAAAUGUUUUAGUGUGUUAGUACAGGUGGCUACGGAACUGGAUCAAUGUCCUCCACAAGCACAGCGGCCGGAGCAAAAUGAUAGAUUAACAUAAUUGGAACCACACCCAGCCCGUGUUUUGGCUGAAUAUUACACAGCUUCACUCCAUGUACACCUUACACUGAAGAACAAGCUUCGAGGACAAUCAAUCUCUCCCUGAAGACAAAAUGCAGUUUGAGAGCAACGGCGUCGACUUCAAGAGUCAACAAGGUGAACCGAACGCAGCACUGCCCUAAACCUUAAAGGGUUCAGCGGCAUGUACAAAUACCAUGGAUGAAUGGAAGCAUGCGCUCCCAAUCACAAGCUGGGAGGUUCACCAGCGACAUCACUGUGUGUGAAUGGACUUGAGAAGACUGUCUGAGUUUCACAUUUGCCAUACUGGGAGCUGAAAUGGCAGAGGAAGAGACUGAAAAGAGUGAAAGACAAAAGGCAAAGCUGAAGAAGAACGACCCACUGGGGCCCUGACAAGCCACAACUGUGAACUGCUGCAGAUGUGGGAGAGAGACAGAAGCUGUGAGAAGUGGGGAGAAGAGAGCAUGGAGGAAAAAUGAAGUCUGUUGUUGUUAAUGUGAGAACACAUGAAAAUUCGGUUGGAAAACUGUGGCCGACUGUCUUGUGGAGGAUGAUAAAGAGUCCGUAGGAUUGCAACAAAGGUCAGAUUUGUGGAGUGUGAGACUGAAAGUUGUCCUGUGGACAGACUCUCCCACCUGAGCUGUGGAUUUCUGCAGCUCCUCCAGAGUGACCAUGGGCCUCUUGGAAGCUUCUCUGACCAGUGCUCUCCUUACUCAGUCUGUCAGUUUAGGUGGACGGCCAUGUCUUGGUAGGUUUGCAGUUGUAGCAUGCUUUUUCCAUUUUUGGAUGAUGGAUUGAACAAUGCUCCUUGAGAUGUUCAAAGCUUGGGAUAUUUUUUUAUUACUGUCAAUAGAAAAUUGUACUUAGUAGUCAGUAUAAUCUUUUAAUGAUAUAAGUUUGCAUAUGGUAGAAUAGUGCAUGUUGACCUUUUGAUGACUUAGGCUGUUGGGUGGUGAUGAUGGGUUUAGAUUUUAUUAUUGUCAUUUGUAUUAAGAAAUAUUUAACCAUAUAUGCUUAGAGGUGUAUAAUCGAUUGUGUAGUGAUAGGAUGUGUGAUCUUUAAUAGUCUGCAAAGACUUUGUGUGCAUUCCAGAGUGUUCUGGCAUUCACACUCAGAUCCUGGGAGCAUGGGAGAGGUCGUACCUUCUGUUAUUGUUUUCUGAUAGGAUAAAUGUAUCUAUGUCUGUUUUAGGCUAAGUGCCUUUUCUUUAGAUGAACUGCUGGACUUCCAGACCAGACCCCCCCCACACACACACACACACACACCCACUGAUGUAUAUAAAUAAAGAGCAGGGCAGUGGCAGGGCGCGAGUCUCGGAGCCCUCACUUCCGUGCGAGUGCUCUGUGGCUGCCCUUGCUGCAAGUAAAACUGUGUUUUUCUCCUCUCUGAGUCGAAGCUGAAGAAGUGUCUUAGAAUACAUCUCUUGACAAACCCUGCUUUAAACUUAUCUACAACUUUAUCCCUGACCUGUCUGGUGAGUUCCUUGGUCUUCAUGAUGCUGUUUGUUCACUAAUGUUCUCUAAAAAACCACUGAUGCCUUCACAGAGCAGGUGUAUUUAUAAUGACACAAACUCUAUUAUCUAAUUAGGUGACUUGUGAAGGGAAUUGAAUGCACUGGAUAUUAGUUUGGGGGUAUCAGAGUACAGAUGGGUGAAAACAAAUUCAGAUUUUAUUUGCUUAAAAUUGUAUGUAUCUUUUUCGUAUCAGUUCACAAUUAUGUGCUUCUUUGUAUUGGUCUAUCACAAAAAAUCUUAAUAGACAACAUCAAAUUUGUGGUUGUAAAUUGACAAAAUGUGUAGAAGUUCAACAGGUAUGAAUACUUUUUCAAGGUACUGUAAGCUCAGGCUUUGUUCAGUUUAAUUAGAAAUGUUGAAUUGACAAGUUCACAUGUAUCAUGUUGAAGGAAGUAAUUAGAGUAAAAUACAGCUUUAUUAUCCACUUGGCUUUGGUCCAGACUAAUAAUUGGUUCUUAGUGCAGUGGCACUUUGAAGUCGCUGUAAUGUGUUGGCAUGCUAAUAGUGCCUGUAAUAGAUUACUUUGGCUUGCACAAUAAAUGUGUAGCUUGCAAAGAACGAUGAAUAAAUGUUUUUAUUCUUCAUUUGUUUGGUGUUUAACUGUUUUGCCAUCUCACUAAAUACACAGAUUUAAAAACAUGAAAAGAAUAAAAUAAUACAUUUGAAUAAAUGUCUGUGUUUCCUAACACGAGAAAAAUGCUGCCAGACCAAACUUACUCACUCUUAGUUCUAAGAUCUUUAAACUCAAUAAGAGAGGAGGUGACAUCCUCGUAUUCAU